AACCUUUACAAUGCACGCAAGUGUGAUAAGGGAAUCCCAAGUGCUUUACUUUUUGUAAGGCUUUUGCUAUAUGUAAAUAGUAUAGCGAAUAAGUGGUGGGCAAGACUUGUGCCAGCCGCCGCGGUAACACCAGCGCCACAAGUGGCAACCAUGAUUAUUGGGCCUAAAGCGUCCGUAGCUGGUUUGAUAAAUUUUCUGUGAAAUUGUUAGGCUCAACCUAACAGCGUGCAGGAAAGACUGUCAAACUUGGGAUCAGGAGGAGUCAAAGGAAUUUUUGGGGGAGCGGUAAAAUGCUAUAAUCCCAGAAGGACCACCGGUGGCGAAGGCGUUUGACUAGAAUGAAUCCGACAGUGAGGGACGAAAGCCAGGGGAGCAAUCCGG
RNAcentral lists this ribosomal RNA (381 nucleotides) under uncultured archaeon. Its description in RNAcentral is "bacterial SSU rRNA". It matches the Rfam family "Archaeal small subunit ribosomal RNA", at positions 345 to 727 of the family's 1478-position model. The record is from RNAcentral.